RNAcentral lists this ribosomal RNA (497 nucleotides) under uncultured bacterium. RNAcentral's name for it is "partial 16S ribosomal RNA". It matches the Rfam family "Bacterial small subunit ribosomal RNA", at positions 28 to 507 of the family's 1533-position model. The record is from RNAcentral.
GAUGAACGCUGGCGGCGUGCCUAAUACAUGCAAGUCGAGCGAACAGACGAGGUGCUUGCUCCUCUGACGUUAGCAGCGGACGGGUGAGUAACACGUGGACAACCUACCUAUAGGACUGGGAUAACUUCGGGAAACCGGAGCUAAUACCGGAUAAUAUAUUGAACCGCAUGGUUCAAUAGUGAAAGACGGUUUUGCUGUCACUUAUAGAUGGAUCCGCGCCGCAUUAGCUAGUUGGUAAGGUAACGGCUUACCAAGGCAACGAUGCGUAGCCGACCUGAGAGGAUGAUCGGCCACACUGGAACUGAGACACGGUCCAGACUCCUACGGGAGGCAGCAGUAGGGAAUCUUCCGCAAUGGGCGAAAGCCUGACGGAGCAACGCCGCGUGAGGGAUGAAGGUCUUCGGGUCGUAAACCGCUGUUAUUAGGAAAGAACAAAUGUGUAAGUAACCAUGCACGUCUUGACGGUACCGAAUCAGAAAGCACCGGCUAACUACGUG